This is a long non-coding RNA of Zonotrichia leucophrys gambelii, 2356 nucleotides long. RefSeq lists it as uncharacterized. The record is from RefSeq and is a predicted model, not a curated record. The transcript has 5 exons. Lineage: Eukaryota; Metazoa; Chordata; Aves; Passeriformes; Passerellidae.
GCCAUUUUGUGGGCGGGGGGCAACUGUAGUCUCAGGCGGUGAGGUGGUGCCUGCUCCGCGUCUCUGUCUUUUUCUAAAUACAUGAUAUAUAAGUAUAUACUUUAUAUAAAAAUAAAUGAGCCUGUGUUGAGAUAUUUGACUGUCUCAUUAUAUGGCAGAGCUUUGCUGUUAAAACGCUUGGUUUUGCAGAGCAGCUAACCUUUCCCCCGUGAUUACUUAAAUAAUUUUCACCUCUGUGUUUGUUUUGCUGUUCCAUCCCAAUGGUGUUGUCCUUGCGGCAGUGCUGCUCCUGGAUCAGUUCCAGUUUAAAUAACGGGAUUGCAAUACAUGAAGCUGAGGGAGAAAAGAAACCUCCCUCUGCACCUGUGAAUAAGUCCCAGUGACCCCAGUGGAGGAGCUCAUCUCUGUGUCAGCUUCAGUUGGUGAAGAUUUUUUGGUUUUGCCCUGUACAUUUCCUUUUUUAUGAAGCAACCAAGGCAAAAACAUUACAGGUUUGAUCAGGAAAUGCAAAUCCUCCUGGGUCUGUGAUACCAGGGCAGUAGUGGAGAAGAUCCUGAGCUGUGGGAGCAGGAGCCCUUCUGAAGGGCUGAUGCCCUUUCUGUGUAAAAGCCACCUGUGAAGCCAUCACAGUCUCUGAAGACCUUGGAGUCAGUUCAUGCAGAAGCACAGAAGCUGAGCCCCAUAAAUAAUGCAGCUGAUAUCAGGAAGAAGCUGGAGGUGUAGAAGACGUAGUGGAAAUCACUGGUUAUGUCUACCAGGAAACCUGGAAUAGAAAUCAAAGCUUAGCCAAAGAGAAGAGGCACUAAAGGCAUUCAGUUACAUCAACGUUAAACCUGAAUCAUUCAGCAAACUGCCAUAUACAAAAGACAAGAAUUCUCUCAUGAGUUAAGUUCUAUUCUCUGGAUUCUAGUGGUUGUUUAGUUUUUAUUUGUAGUCACAAGUCAGGUGAUACUUCUGUAGAAAGUAUUUCUCAAUACACACAGAAAUCAGGAAAGAAAGGAAAUUGUAAUUUUUCCCCAACCUGCUGCUUCAUUUCAUUUGCUCAGCAGAGAACCCUUGUGCCACUGAAUGAGUGACCCUAUUACAUCCUGGGGCAGAAAAUAGAACAACUAGAUAAAGGACUAGCUCAGAAACUUACAUAGUAAGGUCUCCAAACUGAACAUUUGUCUCUAAUGCUGUUUAAUGAAGGAUAAGGAAAUUCACAGCACAGCAAGAUUAUGACUAACAUAAAGUGACCUCAAUAUAAACCAUUUAGAAACAUGAGAUAUAGAGAGAGUCAUUUAACACUAAUAUUAGAGAUGGAAAAGUGAUACUUAGGCCAAAUACACGAUGCCUUCCAUCAUCAUAAGGCUGCUUAUCAAUGUGGAAAUACUGGAAUAAUGUUUAUUUGCUUGUAUUUUUCAGUCAAGAUUGGUGAUGUUUCUUUCCAUGGUGUACUUUCCUAUAGCAGAUUUUAGGACUGUGAACAGAAAUGGAGCUGCUUUUACUGUGCUUUUUUUUGCCCAUCUGCUGCUCCUGUCAGAGAUGACCAAGAAGGGACCUUUUUGGCUCUUUGAGAAAAGAGACUGACACGCUAAUGGCAGGGAGCACCAUGAAAUACACUGCAUGUUGCCACCACAUUAUUGAACCAGACACAAUUUUCCUGCUGAGUAGCCACAAUUCAUUGUCUGGAGAAGAGAACUAAAGCAUGAACUGAGGCUGACAUGCUCAGGUUGACAUUUGUUAUUUGUUGGUCUUUUGAAUUGAUUGCAGGAGCAGGUGUGUCCUGGACAGGUCACUUAGUGCCAUUUGGAGUGAACUGUGAAUAAUUUAUUAGACUGAGAGUCUUAACUAGCUCCUUUCUUGUCUCCAGAGAAAAAUUAAUAUGCUCCAGAACUUGGAAAGAAGACUGAACAGAAGCUUUUACUGUGGGGCUUUUGAAUAAUGUAGGACUGGUAAUAAUUGUGAACACAAAUAAUUCAUUUAAUGGGAUGUUCACAAUUUCUUGAGACUUCAUGGAUAAAGCAAUGCAAACUGGUAAAAAGGUGAAAAAGUUCAUAGCUAUUCCUGCUGGCUUCUUGCCACUGGAAAAAAGCUGUCAUUGCUCCCAUAUGUAUCAGAUCACAUACCAAGUAAUUUUUUCAGUGUGAUCUCGAUGCAGCUGUAGAAAUUACUUUCCAGCUGUCAAAAGAGGCUGAUGAUUCUUUUCCAACCGUACCUUUUAUACUGCUCCCUUUGCAUAACUCACCUACACCAAGGGUUUGGAAACUGGUGACAAGUGCUUGGGAGCAUCAAGAAGAGGAAUUAGGGAAUUUCCAGUUUCCACCACCUUUCCCCCAGCCAGGCUUCAUAGCCUCUCUCACCUGUGAGCGGGGCC